Molecule: ribosomal RNA, 200 nt
Filed under: uncultured bacterium
Lineage: Bacteria
Description: partial 16S ribosomal RNA
Rfam family: Bacterial small subunit ribosomal RNA
Source: RNAcentral
GCAGGCUGCAACUCGCCUGUAUGAAGUCGGAAUUGCUAGUAAUCGUGGAUCAGCAUGCCACGGUGAAUACGUUCCCGGGCCUUGUACACACCGCCCGUCACACCAUGAGAGUCGGGAACACCCGAAGUCCGUAGCCUAACCGCAAGGGGGCGCGGCCGAAGGUGGGUUCGAUAAUUGGGGUGAAGUCGUAACAAGGUAAC